This 1335-nucleotide long non-coding RNA is filed under the name Apteryx rowi (Okarito brown kiwi). Its description in RNAcentral is "lncRNA (ENSARWG00000002120.1)". The record is from RNAcentral. Lineage: Eukaryota; Metazoa; Chordata; Aves; Apterygiformes; Apterygidae.
UCUAAAGAGAGAGCCCCUGUACCUUCCAAAGGUUCCAUGGAAAUGCAAUAAACUUUUUGCAAUAAACUUGAUUUUUCUUCCYAGUACUGUGACUUUGAAUAAAUUUUACUUUUUUUUUUUUUUUCCAAAUAAUAUUGCUAAUGGGAAAGGGGGGAAGGUUUGCCUUCAGUGCAGUGCAUUACAACAGAGAUUAUAGUUCAGAAACUGGAGGUGAGUCAGUAAUGCCAGGCUGUUGCAGAAGAGGCAAACAACUUCUUGGGAUGCGUGAUGAGUCUGCAGGACAUGUUGAAGUAAUCCUUUCACUCUGUUGAAUGCUGUUGAGGUUUCAGUUCGAGUUUAAAAAUGGAAUGAUGCCCAGCGAAGAGACAAUCUCCUGGAAAGUCCCUAAGGAAUCAUGUUUCAGUGCCUAUUUUGAAUUUGUAGUAAAAAUAAGAAGUUUCAGUUCUUUUGAAACUCUAAACUUUUCCUCUUUCUGCUUUCAUCUGGUUUUAUAAAUGAACAACUUUACUACAUGCGUAUCGCCAUAGGGAGUCUUAGUCCAUCUGAGCAACCAACCUGCCUUAUAACACUGAGCUGAUGAAGUUACUUGACAAAAUCAAAAAAUGAAUGCUGUUAGGUGAUUUUCUUUUUUUUUUUUUUUUUUAACUCACAAUUUUGUUAAAUGCUGGACAAUAUUAUUUUUAAAAAAUACUUUCAAAUGAGUUAUGUAAAUACGUUUGCAGGUCAUCAUUUCUUACAGGCUUUCAGAUGAAAAGCUAAAUAGAUACGUUACCUGUAGUAGGUACAAAUUAAUUUUUUUAUGUUGUAUAAACUCUAUUUGCAUAUUAAUAGAAGAAAAUAGAAAAAUAAUUUAUUAAGUGCAUUCCUGUAAUUGUGGAGGCAGGAUCUUUGUACGGUUCUGGAACACUACAUAUAUGGUCUUACUCCAUUUUGAGAAGCCUUGUAAUUGCAAUGGGUGCCCAUGUUUAAAAAUCUUUUGUUACCUAACAAUCUGGAAUGUUUAAAAUUUUAGCGACUGGUAAAGUGUUUCUAAUUACAGUACAUCUGGUGUAGGUUCUCAAAAUCAACGCUUACAUAAUCAGUCUGUUUAAAAGUAACCCAUCAUUAGUCCAAAUUAUCUAACAUGGAAAACUAGGUUAAAAAAUGAAAACUUUCAUGUGCAUAGCUGCCAACUUAAGAAAGAGAUCAAAUUAAUUGCUAAAGUUUUCAGUUAGUGGAUUAGCCUACAAUAAUCUGCUAAACAAUAUGAAAGGUAAAGAUAUUUGCAUUGUUUUUUUGUUUUUUUUUUUCAAUUGUAUUAAUAAAUUUAUUCUAAAACUUAUUCUUGUCCUUAUA